CCGUCGGUCCCUGUAUGUUAAGGUCUAAAGGCUGCUUUCCAAAUCUCUUCCCAACCUGUUGUUACUGUGAUUAGUUACCCCUUGAGAAAGUCGUUCUCCAGUUAUGAUUCAAAUAUUUUGUGGAGGAAUUAGGAUAUCACCUAUUUAUUCCUUAUGUCCUAUAUUGCAGCUUUAUAGUUUACAGAGCAUUUUUAAACACACAUUUUUUAAUCUGAAUCUCUUUUAUCAGUUUUGAAUGGCAGAAAGAAGAGAUAUUAUCACUGAAGGAAAAGGAUUGGGAACAUGAAUUGACUUGAUCAAAGGCAUACUGAAUUUGUGGUAGAACCAAGUCUAGAUGAGUUUCUUUAACUCCAGAGCAUCUGCUUAUUCCUUCUAGAUUUCAGUUGUCCAUGUUUGGAAGCUGAGGUUUGCUUGUUUUAUGGUGCUAUUGCUCUACCACUAAGCUACACUUCUAGCCCUGUAAGCUGAGUUGUUAAGAGCAAGGACUUCAUCCCUGUCUGGUACCCCUUAAUCUUUAGGGCUAGGACUGAGUGUGUUACAUAAGGUCUGUCCCUUAGGAUUCUGAUCCUAUGAUUUAUGUCUUGUCCUCCAUAAUUCAAUGAUUCUUUGACUUUAAGGCACAGCUCUGACAAAGAUAGCCUUGGCCUUUAGUGAUACUACCAGCUGAGCAUUUCAACAGGGCACCCAUUUGGCUGGUAACCUUUCAAGAUCCAUCCUUAAUGAUGCAGGGAUGGUGAUGGAAUAGAACAUAUUAAAUAUAUAUCAAAACACACACACGAUUGCUAAGAAUGAGAUCAACUUUUAAAGUGAGUCUAUUUAAGGAAAACAUUAAGUAAAUAAUAGUAUGGUGAUAUGCAAAAGAAGAAAGCAUGAACUUGCCAAUGACAAAUUCAAGGAAUUGUGAUGAAGUAGGAAGAUACAACAAAACUAAUGAGUCACAAAAAUAAUUCUAAGUUUGGCUCUGUCAUACUUAAGCCAUGUAACCCUAAUGAAGCUGCUAACCUUAAGUGAGCCUGUUUCCUCAUUUAUGAAGUCGAGAAAGAAUUCCUACCCUCCUUCCCUUGGAAUGUUGUGAAAGCAUGUUAAAGCCUGGAAUGUACCAGGCUAAUGUCUGGUGCUACUGAUAUCCUAAGUCCUUUUUACCCACAUUUUUCCAGACCUCCUCUCUGCCACCACAGAUUAUGCCUCCCACCCAGCCUCAAUUUCCUGGAAGCCCAAGGACUGAUUCCAGUUCAGUUUGUUGUCUACACCUGGGUUUGCUAUUCUGAAGGUGGGGAGGAGGGAAGGGCUGGAGAAAUGCUGGAAUCAGUCUGGGAACAAGUCCCAGCACAUGUCACUGUUUGCUUUGUCAUCCUGAUUCAAUGACCUCAUACUAGGAAGGGAGGAGCAGCAGGAGCUGUUCAGUUCCAGAUACCUAAGGCGGCUUCUGACAUCUACUGUUUUCCUUGGCAUGAAAGAGCAGGCACUGGGCUGUGAUUUUUUAAGGUCUGAGCUAAUCUGGGAAGUGAAGAACAGUACCUCCUGCAGCUGACCAGACUCCUCUUCUUGGGAGUUGCUUUGAACAAAGGGGUAGAGGGCACUGGAGAGGCAUCAGAAUCUGUGCUGUUGCUCCUGCCCCUUGGAGGGACUCCAGAACACAAGGUCUAUUCCUACAUUUUCAUCCGUCUUAGUACUACCUGAGGUGAGUGCUAAGAAUGGGCAUAUUGCCCAGUUAAAGGAGAAAGAGCCUGGGGCUUGGACAGCUACUGAAUUGUUUCUUAGCCUGAUCCUUAUAGGAUAGCCAACAAGCAUUCACAGAGGCUCCAAAGCCCUUAGAAGCCAGAGAGCAUCUCAUCCUCAUGGGCUCACACAUUCACUGAGCAUUUUGACAGCAUUUACUAUGUACCAGGCCUUUUGGAGAAAUGAGGCAGUCACGGUUUUACCACCAGGAUCCCUUAUCCCACCCCACCUGGCACCCUGGGCUUAAUUGAGGUUUAAAUAAUUUUGUUGGCUGAACAGUUUGGCUUCGUUAAUUAUUAAUUUCCAGGUUUUUGAUAAUCAGAUAUUUGCAUAACUAAAAAUAAAUGUUUCAGAUCAAAUUUUGUCUUCAUUGGAUUUACCAGCUAUUUUUAAAAGUAGCUGGCAAGCCAGGCUUGGUGGUGUAUGUCUGUAAUUCUAGCUACUUAGAGGCUGAGGCAGGAGGAUCUCAAAAUUUGAGGCAAAAAAAAAAAUUGAGGCUAGCCUGAGCAACUUAGUUAGGCCCUGUCUCAGGAAAAGAGAGAAGGAAAAAAAAAAAUCUGGGGAUGUAGUUCAGUGGUAGUGCUCUUGCUUAGCAUGCAUGAGGCCCUGGGUUCCAUUCUCCAGUACCACACACACACACACACACACACAGAGCUGGUAGAAUACAGGGGAAUGAGUUCAAGGUUUUAGAGUCUUCAGCUGGAUUUUGAGGGGUAGAUAAGAGUUCAUAAGUAGAAAAAAAGAGAACACUACAAGCAGAGGGAGCAGAAUGAUCCAGGUGCUAGUCCCAAAACCUGUCCCAAGGCCAAUCUGUUGUAUUGGACUGUGUCUUGAGCUCAAAGGCGUGAACAUUAUAUAAUGUAUUUUGUACUGGAGAUCAAACCCAAAGCUUUGCACAUGCUAGGCAAGAGCUCUACUACUGAACUACAUUCCCAGCUCUUUGAGCUUAGUGAUUUAGAAACCAGAGUUUAGAAUAGAAUUGAUGAGGGUGGAGAUGAGAACUGGAAAUCUUAUGGUUAAGUGUUCCAGUUUUUCCACAUCAUCGUUUUGAGAAAUGGAGGCAGGAAAUCCCAUUGAAGUCCCUUUGGUUCCCAAGGGCAGAGGCGAAAAGAAUAUAGCAAAGGGUAAGCUAAAAUUUUGCCCCAGAGCUGGCCUCAAAACCUGUCUCCCAUCUGACUGCCCCACCCCGUAGCUCUAAGAGCAAACCAUUUAUUUUGUAUGAUUUUAAAAAACUGGCUCAUCUCAUAAAUGUUCCAGAGUCAGAACAGGCUGUGCCAUGGCUGAAAUAAACCUGCUGAACAAAUAAACAAGACAGGCUGUGGGCUGGGGAAAGCACUAGACAUGGGCCCCAUCAGAUCCGGACCUCAGCAAGGCUCUCCUGAGUCUGGGCCUCUGCUUCUUCCCUUUAACAGAAAGGGUGAGAUUUUGGGGGUCCUUCCAGCUCUGUGCUCUAGGCAAAUCAUAAAAAGGAGAGAAUUAUGAGCCUUCUUCAGAAGCCUCCUUCCUUCCACAUCAGGAGGCUAAGGGCUGAAGAGGGGGAUCUCUUCAUGAGCAAACAUUGGAACCAGAGCUCAGCCAUUCUCUUGUUCAUUCAUCAUAUACUACCUGAGAGUCUAGUCCCUGCUAGGUGCUGUGCUGCCCUGUCUCUCAAGGUACAUACAAGGAGUCAUAGUUGGGUUAGCAGAAGAGAGAAGACUGAUAGUUCCUUACACACACCUACCUCUUGCCCCCUGUCCCCAUGCUUGUUCCUGCUGUUCCCACUGCCCAGAUUGCCAACUCCUCCCUUCUCCUUCAAUCUCAGUUUAAAUGUCAUUUCCCUGACCACAUUAUAUAUGGUAGGGUACCCCAUCUCCCCCGUCACUCUCCAUCACCCUUAUAGAAUUUGCAGAACUUUGUAAGUAUAUAUGUCUGCCUGUGUAGUUUGUCACUUAUUUUCCAUCUUUCUGGCUAGAAUAUAAGUUACACAAAGGCAAGGAUUCUAUUUGUUUAUCACUUCUGGACUCUAAGCAUACAUUUAUAGAGUACAUGAACAAUUUCUUGGCAGAUACCAUGUUUUUUACAUAGACUUCUUCAUUUAGUCUUCUUAACUCCAAGAAAGAAGCAUUCUUUUAUCUUCUUUAGAGUGAAGUUCAUUAGAAGCCUCUGGAUGGAUCUUGCAGUUGCAAGAUUGAGAGAUUGGGUUCAAACCUCCUCUUCAAGUUGGGACUGUUUUUACUUCACCAAACUGCAGGGACAGAUAAUAUGAGGCUCUGAGCAUGGCAUCUGAGCUCUAUUUUUUUUUUUAGAAAACAAAAUUUUUUUUCAAACCCAGGGGCACGCUGUCACUGAGCCACGUUCCCCCACCCCCUUUUUAUUUUUAUUUCUUGAGACAGGGUCUCACUAAGUCGCUUAGGGCCUUGCUAAAUUACUGGGGCUGGCCUCAAAUUUGCAAUCCUCCUGCUUCAGCUUCCCAAGUUGUUGGGAUUACAGUCAUGCACCACCACACCCAGUUUAUUUUGACAUCAUUUUAAUUUACCUAAAAGCUGCAAAACCAGUACAAAGAACUCUAGUGUAUUCUUCACUCAGGUUUACCGAAUGUUCACAUUUUGCUACAUUUGUUUUAAUAACUGAGUGUAUAUAUACAUAUUUAUACUUAUUUUCUUUCUUUUUAACCAUUUGAGAGUAAGUUGCAGACUAGCAAUUCUUCCCCCUUAAAUAUUUCAGUGUGACUUUCUCAAGAACUUGGAUACUUUCUUACAUAAAUCAGGGAACUUAACAUGGAUAUAAUGCUAUUACUUAAUAUAUAAUGCAUAGUAAAGUUCAUUCAGUUUUCCAAUAAUGUUCUUAACAGAGAUGGUCCAGGAUCUAAUCCAGAUCACACAUUCCAUUUAGUUUCAUAUCUCUUGAGUUUUUACCAUAGAACAGUUAGUUCCUCAGCCUUUCUUUGUCUUGCGUGACAUUGAUAUUUUUCAUGAGUACAGGUCAGUUCUGUAGUAUGCUUCUUGGUUUGGUUAGUCUGACGUGGGCUCACAAUUAGAUUCCAAGUUAGGCAUUUGCUGGCAGGAAUCCCACAGAAGUGAUGUUGUAUUCUCAGUGUGUCAUAUCAGGAGCCAUAUGAUGUCUCUGUCUUGGGAUUGAUGAUAUUAACUUUGAUCACUUGAUUUAGGAGAUGUCUGCCAGGAAAAGUUACUCUUUCUUCUUAUAAUUAGUAAAUAAUUGGGUGAAGGAUUAUUUAAGGCUGUGAGUAUCCUUUCCUCAUCUAACUUUUACUUCCAUUGAUGAUUCUUGCUUGAAUCAAUUAUUAGUAUGGUAGUUGCAAAACAGAUCUUAUUUCUGAUUUUAAGGCUGAUGUCUAUCAGGAUAAAUGGGUAGGAUGGAAGGGAGGAGGGAGCAAGAGACCUAAUUCUAAAAACACCUGGUUUCUCAAAUGUCUACUGAAAUAGGAAGUGACUGAUAUUAAUUUCCUACCUUACUAAGUAAAAAGUGAAAGAAUGACAUGGGAUUUUUCAUGAAAAAUAAAAGAUGUUCAUUACUAGCCAGGUGCUGUGGUACUCGACUGUAAUCCUGCUGAGGCAGGAGGAUCAUAAGUUCAAAGCCAGCCUCAGCCACUUAAUGAGACCCUAAGAAACUUAGCAAGACCUUGUCUCAAAAUAAAAAAAGAAAGCAGGGCGGCCGGGAUUGUGACUCAGUGAUUAAGUGCCUCCUGGGUUCAAUUCCUGGUACCUCUCCCCUGCAAAAAAGAAAAAAGUUCAUUCCUAAUGGAAUAAUGAUUUCCAGUUUUCAAGCACAGAAUAACUCCCACACACCACACCAACCAUUUAGAAUUCAUUAUUUGUCUCAGUCCUCACAAAAACUCUGAGACUGUAUUGUUGCCUCUGAUUUAUAGACUGGAAACUUAAAACUCACUCAGAAAGUUUUAAGUGAAUUUACCUAAAGUCAUACGGCUAGAAAGUGGAAGAGUCGGGAUUCAAAUCAAGAUCUAUUGGGCUCCAAAGCCUUUACUCUUUUCCCUAGGAAGAAGUCUUUUUGUGUCAUGGUAGUCAGUCUCCAUACAUUCCAGGCAAUGCCAGUUUCCAACUGUUUUCCAGCCUAAGGGUGAGUUAUGCUGCAAAAGGGAAUGUUAAAUAUGGGGGUCUGAAGCCUGCAAAGAGGCAGGUGAGGCCCUCAGUAUAGUUAGUUAUGGCAUCAGCCAGGUGGCUCCUGAUUUACAGACAUCACUGCUCCCUGAGCAGCCCCAUGGCUGGCAGUGGUCUGAGAGGACCUCCCACCAAUUCAGCUAUGACCCCCUGUAGCCCAAGUGGCAGAGCCAUCCCUAGACAUUGACUCAUCAGUUCCCCUUGCCAGGUACUGCUGCAUCUCCUGUGCUUAGAAAAGCAGGAAGCUGAACUCUGACAUUUUAGAAAGUCUUUGAACAAUAACCUUGAUUGAGGGGAUUUUCCAGGUAACCCUGGAGAAUUUCAUUUAACCAAAGGCUUACUGUAUUCUUGUUCUUUGAAAUGUGGUAAUUCAUGUACACUGCGUGUUUAUGAUAAUUCUCAUUAAUCAGUCAAGUCAACCAAAAGUGAUUUCUUCACCAGUUAGGAUACACCAUAGAACCACAGAAAUACCAAAUUUAAAAGAGCUUUGAGACUCAUUAUUUAAUAGGACUCUUCACUGUAUAGGGGGAAACUAAGGCCCAGAGAGGGGAUAAAAUUCAUUCACAUUUAUAUAGCCUAUUACUGGCACAACCAGAACUAGAAAUUCUCAGUUCAAAGUGCUUUCUGCCACAUCAAAAAAAAUUUUCUUUAAAAAAUGUUUUUGUAGUUGUGGAUGGAUUGACUGCCUUUAUUUUAUUAAUUUAUUUUUUUAUGUGGUGCUGAGGAUCAAACCCAAUGCCUCACAAAUGCUAGGCAAGUGCUCUUCCACUGAGCCACAACCCCAGCCCCCCCACAUCAAAAAAUUUUAAGUUCAGGGUUUCCUGCAGGUUGAAUUUAGACUGCAACCAUGUUUUGUUUGGGUGUCAUAGUAUUUUGGAAAUUGGGAGGUUUCAUGUAAAAAUCCAAAUUUCGUGAGUUUUUGUUUUGUGUUAAAAGUAGGAAAUAUGGCCACACUGGGCCUGAUGGCAGUGGAACUACUCAAUCCCCCUCUAGACUGAGGCACUAGAAUCUAGAAGCCACUUCCUAUCACUCCCUGUCAUCGUGCACCUGAUCUGUUUCAUGACCCACCUGACCUACUAAGCACUGGAAUUUGGCUUCUGUGCUUUCUGGUGAAGGGUGCUCUUUGGUUAAAAAAAAAAAAGGAGGGGGGCUAAAGUGAGUCAGAUUGAAAAACAGGGAAGAUAAUAAGAAAUUAGAAGCUCUUGAUAUGGAAGUGAUCUAUGUUAAAGGAUGGAGAAGCUGUGGGCAGAAAAAACAUCCAGGGAGCUACUGGAAGGAAGAGAUGGAUGCCAGAGAUCCCAAAGGAGAUAUAGACAGGAUUUGAUGCCUGCAUGCAGGUGGGAAGAGAGGGAAAGAGAAGAAUCAAAGCUGAUGGAACCUUUGUGUUGGAUGAUCAGAGGAAUGGUUAUGGCCCAAACAGAAAAGGGAAACCAGGAGGGAAAGCUGGUUCGGGAAAAAUAAGAAACUCAUUUUUAGGUAGGUAUUAUUGGAAAUGACAAUAGGGCUUACAUUUAAAGUUGUGCAGUGGGCAACUGAAUUUGAGACUGGAAUUUAAGAGAUCAGAGCAGGUAACCUAGAGGAUAUAGCUGAGCCCAUCAAAUUCAGUGUGAUCUCUUCUGAAAGGCAGAAGGCCAAGAACAGGGAACUCAGUGCAGCAUGAUGAAUACUGGAAAGUGGCCACUGUUUAAAAAAUCACAGAACAGCAGGAGGAGCCAGCAACAGAUAAGGAAUCCGUGAGGCAGGAAGAGAUUGAGGUUGGGGUAUCACUGUAGAAGACAUAAGGCAGAGAUAAAGAAUAGAAACAUAACCAGAGAGUAUCCUAGAGAAAAUGGAAGAUCUAAUUAAGGUGGGAGGGAGGUAUGUUUGUAGGUUGUGCUUUGUAGGAGUCAUGGGGGGCAGUGAAGUGGCCCUCUUUUAAUAACUAUGGAAAAAUGGGGGAAUCAAGAUCAAGUAGAUUUCAAAGGCUGAUUCUCAUAUUAGCUACUCUGUAUGUGCCUGGGAAUGGGCUCCUGACUUCUCACUCAUUAUUCCAGAGAUAGCUCAUCUCACAUCAUUUCCUUAGUUUGGACUUAACUCUGUCCAUUUUUAAAAACAUUUACUUCUUAGCUAUAGGUGGACACAAUAUCUUUAUUUUUAUGUGGUGCUGAGGAUCAAACCCAGUGCCCCACGCAUGUGAGGCAAGCACUCUUCCUCUGAGCCACAAUCCCAGCCUCUGUUUUUGUCCAUUUUGACAAUGAAACAAAAUGCUUUAUACUGGGUCCUUUAUAAACCACAGAAAUUUACUUCCCAGAGUUCUGGAGGCUGGAAAAUCCAAGAUCUUAAGGCACCAGCAGAUCUGGUGAUCUGGUGAGGGGCCAUUCCUCAUAGAUGGUACUUGCUACGAGUCCUCGUAUGGUAGAAAGGGCAAAUAGGCUCCCUCAAGCCUUUUUUUUUUUAAUAGGAGCACUAAUCUCAUUCACAGAGGGAACACUUCUAAUCUGAUCACCUUCCAAAAGUUCCCUGCCUCUUAGUAAUGUGGGGGUAGAAGUUAGGUUUUAAUAUGUGAACUUGACAGUGGGGAGGGUGAGGAUGCUCUCAUAGACCAUACAGCUUUAACUAAAAUGUGCUUGCGCGUGCACACACACACACACAUAAACACACACACACACUGGAUGUUGCCCAUUCUGAGGGGCAGCAAAUUAUGUGUAAUUUAAAAGAUGCAAACUAGGCCUCUUCCCUUGAUAGAGGACAGUUAAAAGAUGCCUUCCCUUGUACCAAAUUAGUCAUGUGAUGAAGCUUUAUUAUUAGAAUUUCCAUUGCCGUAAACACAGUAGAAGUUCUGGGAUGUCAAGAUAGGUGUUAAAUUUGAACCCAAGUCUCUUGGAAUCCUAAUGUAGGGUCCUUUCCACUACUAGAUGCCAGCAGGACCCUGGUAGCAAACUAGCAUGGAAACCUGGAUAUGCCACUACCCUUAGGAAGCAGUGUACAAUCUAAUCUUCACUUAUCCACUUGCAUGUGAAAUGCUUGCCCAUAAAAAUACAUCUUUAAAAACACACAUUGAUUAUAAUGAGGGAGAUCAGAGGGUAGGGAGAGAAAGAAGAGAGUAAUGAAUCUGGGUGGGAUGAAACUCCCAAGAAGAGAUAGAUGUAUGCAAUACCUGGGACUGAGCUGCGGCUUUUAACCUGGAGCCUCGGAUUCCCAGGGUUGGAUGGUCCAACUUCAGGAGUUGCUCACACCCGAAAUUACAAGCAUCAUUGUAGUGACUUGUGUGCAUGUGGGUUGCUGUGGUCAUUUUCUAGGAGCAGGGCGCAUACUUCAUCAGAUUUUCAAAAUGGCCCUUGCCCAAAAAAGUUGAGAACCACUGAUGCGGAAGCAUGUACAGCCCCUUCCUGGAUUCAGAACACAAUGGCACAGUUUAUACCCGGUGCCUGUCAUUUUUUUCUAAAUUCUCGCCUAGAAAUCUAUUCCAACUAGACUCUUUCUACCCAGGGGGGAAAUCCCUCCUUCUGAAAGCCUAUUUUUAGGAAAGCCUGGCCGAGUGACUCCCCGCAGUCGCAGGGGUGCUGCGCAGGCCAGAGGGUGCCCGUGGCCCUGGAAGGAUCAGCAGCGCCAGAGGGGGCUGCGGGCGAGCGGAUGUCACGGCUUACCUCAGAGCCCGAAUUAGAAGCCUGAAAAAAUCACAGCAGGAAAUAAUGUGGUGCCUAAAAUAGAAGCAGCAACUGGGAGAGAGGCCGGGGAGUAGGUGGCAUUUGAGGCUCCUGCCGCGUCCCCCCAGCGGCUGCCAGCAAGCGCCUCUGAGGCGUGAGGAUGUCACCCGGCUAGAGGAGGCCGCCAAGGCCCAGCCGCUGUACUUAUGGCUGCUGGAGGAGGGGACUUAUUACAGUCACACUGGCAGGUGCCCCGCCUGUCUCCUCCAACCUUUCCCGCUCCCUCCUCCCCUCCCCCACCGUUCCUCCCACUGCCUUCUUCCUCCCACCACCUUCCCUUCAGCCCCUUCCUCCUCUCAACUUCCCACCAUUUCCUCCUUCCCCUCCCUACAUCAAGCCCCUCCCUUUCUUCCCUGUCUAGCCUCUGCCCCCUCUGCUCUAGGCUGCCAGGAGGCCCUUGGUGCACCCUAGGCAAUCAAAAGUCACUUAACAGCAGCUUCACCAAGGUCAGCCUCCUCUCCUGACUGGAGUAAUUCCUCCAUCAUCCUGCCCUCAGCACCCUUGCCACCUCUUUGGGAGAGGCUGGCAGGGCUAGUAUUCCUUCCCUGGGCUCUUGCUUCAGGAAGGCAGAGAGAAAGCCCAAGCUUGCCUGCUGACCUGGGCUGGCCACAGGAUAUCCCUCAAAUAAGUACACUGGUUGGGUGUGAGGUUUGCUAAGCCAGAGGCACUCUGUUACCAAGCUGUCAAGGGCAAAGGGCAGUGGACAAAAAUAAGGAGGGCCAGCACUUAAGAACUUACCCAUAAUUCACUUCAGUUACUCCUCAGGACACUAUGAGUUAGGAAUUUCUAUCAUUCCUGUUUUACAUAUGAAGAAAGGGAGACACAAAAAGAUGAAUUAACAUGGCAUGUUCAUAAAACAUGCUGGUGGCCAGGGAUGUUUGACUGCAGCAUCCCUAAACAUCCUACUGAACUUGAACAGACCUGUCAGCUUAGUGCUUGAAUUAAGCUUCUCCACUUAGUGUUCUGCUACUCAGCUUUUCUAAAAAGUAAUUGAUAGCUUGGAAAUUUCAGAUUUUUUUAAAUCCCAUAUUCCUGUAUUCUUAUUUUUACCUCCUGAGUAUCCCCCUGCACCACCACCACCCCAGCUGUUUUCUACUGAAAACAAGCUCUCUCGGUUUUUGCUAGUUUGAGAUGCUGUGAGUCCUCGGUACCAUCUGGAAUGGAAUGGGCAUUCAUUUGUGCUUGAGUGUGCUGCCCACACACAUGUGUUCCACUUGUUUCCUCUGCCUCAUGCCUUUCUGUCACUCUGGGGUUAGUGGUUUAUGAUUUACCAAACAUUCAUAAAGAGGUAUGUUGCUAAUGUGGCAUCACACAAGCAUUGUUCCCUGGAGUCUAGAUAUUAUUGGGAUAAAUGGUGAGAAAAAAUGACUGAGAUUGUGGGUAAGGGUGCAGGCACCUCCAAAGACUAAAAGAAAUGUCAGAAUAAAAAAUAUAGGGCUAGGGUUGUAGCUCAGAGUAGAGCACUUGUCUUGCACAUGUGAGGCGCAUUAAAAAUAUAGUUAGCAUGCAUUAAUAUGUCCUGAAUGCAAGGUUUUGUUCUAUAUAUUUUAUAAGAAUUAUCUCACAUAAAUGAUAAUAAGAAUCCUGUGACAUGAGUAUCAUCACCAUUUGACAGAAAACUCAAGUCAUAUAAAGCUUAGAGCUAGGGUUCUGAUGCAUUUAAUCAGCCCACUAAUUGCAAACAAAAACAGGGUGCUGUUUUUUUCGUUUUUUCCCUCCAAAAUAGAAAUAUCUUUGUCUUUUUGCUAGCUUUGAAAAGGUUUACAUGCUCACUGUGAAGAAUUAAAAUGAUACAAAGUACAUAAAGAAAAAAAUAAAAGCCUUUCUCCAUAAGCCCCCUCCUCAUGGACCCACAUUUAAAGGUUUCUGAUAUUGCCAUUGUAUCGGGGGAUCAGAAAGGUAUAAACAUAAACAUUUUGGCCAUAUACUGAAAUAGACAAGUUAUUUUAUUUCAGCCUUGUAAAAUGAAAGGUAAGGAUGUAGAAUAGGCUUCUGUAUUGCUGGUGACAGUUUAAUUAGUACAAUUUUUUUUUUUUCCUAUACUGGGGAUUAAAACCAGGGUUGUUCUACUGCUGAACUAUAGCCCCAGCCCUUUUCAUUUUGAGACAAGGUCUUCCUGAGUUGCCAGGCUGGCCUAGAACUUGUGAUCCUCCUACCUCAGCCUCCUACCUCAGCCUGUUGCUGGGAUUACAGGCAUUUCCACCAAGCCCUGCUAAUUAGUACAACCUUAAAGCAAUUUGUUAAUAUAUAUUGAGUGACUUAAAAAUAUUCAUACCUUAAAAAAUUCAUACCUGAUACUUUAUACCAAUUCUACUUAUGAGAGAGAGCCUAUCACAAAGAAAUAAAUAAAUGAAAAGCUAAUAUGUAAUAUUUUCAUAUUCAAAAUUUUGGCAUAACUUCAAUGUCCUUCAAAAAGAGAAUGGUUAAACCAGGUGCAGUGGCACAUGAUUGUAAUCCCAGCAGCUCAAGAGGUUGAGGCAGGAGGAUUGCAAGUUCAAGAGCAGUCUCAGCAACUUAGCAAGGCCCUGAGCAAUUUAAUGAAGACUGUCUCAAAAUAAAAAAUAAAAAGGUCUAGGGGAUAUGGCUCAGUGGUAAAGUGCCCCUGGGUUCUAUCCCCAGUACCAGAGACAGAGAGAGAGAGAGAGAGAGAGAGAGAGAGAGAGAGAGAGAAAAUGGUUAAAUAUGUCAUAAAAAAAAUUAGAGCCCUCUCCUUGCUAGAAUAACAUGCAGUCAUUUAAAAUGAUGUGUAAAGACUCUAAUAAUAUGAUGGAAAUGUUUAGAAUAUAAAGUCAAAUAAAAAAAUACACAGCCUGGUACUGUGGUAAUAUACCUUUAAUUCCAGUGACUUGGGAGGCUGAGGCAGGAGGAUCGAAAGUUUGAGGCCAGCCUAAACAGAUUAGUGAAGCACUGUCGUAAAACAAACAUGAAAAAGGCUGGGAAUGUGGAAAAGUGCCUCUGAGUUCAAUCCCCAAUAACAACAGCAACAACAACAAAAAUACACAGACACACAGAAACACACACACAUAUUUAUACUGCAUGAUUAAAAUUGUAUAAAAGGAAAUAAUAGCAAAAUGUAGAGUAUAGGGCUGGGGCUCAGUGGUAGGGCACUUGCCUGGCAUGUGUGAGGCACGGAGUUCGAUUCUCAGCACCACGUAUAAAUACAUAAAUAAAAUAAAGGUCUAUCAACAACUAUAAAAAAAGAAAAAGAAAAAGAAAUAAUAGCAAAAUGUUACCAGUGAUUGUAUUAGUAUAUGGAGACUAAUGUGGUUUUCCUUUUUCAUUCUUUCUGUAAUGUGGUUUAUUUUUGUAAUAAGAAUUAUAUCUGCUUAAAGACUGGAAAAUAGAUGCAAAUUAUCAAAGAACUCUUAUUUCUUCUCUCCUCUCUGAAUCUGAGAUUUACUUCUAAAAUGAAACAGAUUAGAAUUAGAUGACUUCUAAAUCAUGCCAGCUCUAAUAUUAUAUAUUUCCUGAUAGUCAAGUGACUCCCUCUGUAAUUGAUUUAGAGUCAAAAUUCAUCUCACCAUUAUGUACAAUAAUGCACCAAUAAAAAAUAUUGAAAAAAAACAAAGUCAACAUUCAAGCUACGUGCAGUGGUGUGCACUUAUAGUCCUAGCUACUUGGGAGGCUGAGACAGGAAGAUCCCUCGAGCCUGGGAAUUUAAGACAAGCUGGGCAGCAUAACCAAGCCCCAUCUCUUAAAAAAAUAACAAAAAGCCAAAAUUCAGUCACCACACUGAAAUUGAACAGAACAGAGUAGAACUUGUUCUGUGACCAUUAAUUUAGGCUCUGCCUACCUUUAUCAGAGUAUCCAUUCAUUUAAAAAAACCAGAAAGUUGUUUGGAUCUGCAUAGAGGCUCAAUCUAGGUUCAGUGUUCCCACUAGAAAGACAUUUUUUUUUUUCCUUAAAAAUAGAUAUCUUUUUCAUUCCCCACUGGGAAGGAGAGACUCCCAAACUUGGCAGUCCCAGAACUGGAUAAUUGGGGCAGUGACUUCUCAGCUUAUCCUGAUUUUGAGGGACUGUGUCCCAGCUUGGCUCUUUCAUUCCUCAUUCUAUGAGCUGGAAUACCAAAAAAAAUGGUAUGUGAGGCUCCCAUGGCCCUGCCUUGCCCACUCCUCUGCAGUGGCAAGGGAUAGAUGGAAACUGUUUACUAGGUGGAGAGCUCCUUGAAGGCAGGGACCAGGGUUUUAUUCUGGCACCUGAACAUGGAAUGAAUGAAUGGGUUAUCAACUAAGUGUGAAGAAGCCCAUUGCAUGGGAGAUCCAGUAGGAGUUCCAUGUAUCUAUGAAAUAAGUAAGGCUAGCAGUCAGAAGAAGUAUAUUGUGAGGUCACUGAUCUGGAGGAGUUGGGGGUGGGAAUGUGUUUGGGAAGGCACAAGGCUGGCACAGACUUCGUCAGAGCCCUGAAAGGGGCUGAGUGGGCUCUGACUCAGCUCCAUGAGUCACUCACUGUACUGCUGUCUCCAUCCUCUGGGCACAUCCUCUGGACCAUUGAGCUCAGCCUUAAGUGGAGGAGGGUGAAAUUUGGGCCUGCACUUCCAGAUGAGUCACCUAGCUGAGCUGGAAGGAAGGAGUUGAAGCACCACCCUCCUGUCCCCCAUCAACACCUGUGCUUCCUCAGGGGUUCUCAUGCAGACUCAGACCUCAUGAGUAGGUUCUAGUUGCUCCAUUAAUAGCCUACCUGGCUCUGUCACACUCCCCUGCUCAAUCUGCAUAAUUUCCAUGGUGCCCUCACAGAGUUGACUCCUGGGAUUCUCGUGGGCAUCUCAAGUGAGCUUAUAAAGAACUUUACAUGGCUGCCUCAUACCACUUGUCAUUCUAUAUUAUUUACCUCCCCCCAAACCUUUUCAGUUUGAAAAGCAGUUUUAUAUUCCUUGUCUCAUUGAUUCUUCUGAGACCCUGGGCAGCAAAUACCACCAUUCUACAGGGAAGAACAUGGAAGCUCCAAGAGGCACAGGAACUAAUGAAGGGAUUCAUGAAGGGCCUUGAAGGGCAAAGGCAUGCCACAGAAAGGGCAGAGCUGGCCAGUGGAACUUCCAGGCAUUGGGUUGGGCAGUGGGCUGGGGAAGAGGGACAGUGCUGGCCAUUCUGUGUCAUGACAAAAAAGAUAGCUGAUUGGGAGCAAAAGACAGAUGAGGUACUUUGUCUUUUCCUUAUGAUGAAAGGGAAGCCAUUGCAGGGAGCAACAUGGGUUUUAAAAACUUGUCUUGGGUGGAAUGUGAGCAGGGAAUUGGAACAGGGCCAGCCAGGAGCUGGCUCCACAGUUCAGGGAGGGGCUGGCCUGGUCUGCCUGUGGGCAAGUGCAGAGGAGUCAGGAAAGGAGGGGGGAAGCACUCAGAGAUCUUCUGGAGGCUGGCCAAGAAGGCCUCUAGGCUGGUGUCACACAGGCAAUUGAAAGUAGGGGUCUAAGGCUGUUACCCCUGAAUAAAUUAUAUAUAUUUAUUCCACUAUAAAGGCCCUGGCAUGCUAAGUAGGAUACAGUCCACAUGCAGAUGUGAUUGUAUUCAGUCAGGGGAUGACAAUGACUCAGGGUAGAAGGAUGGUCACUAGGGCCACCAACCCCAAGGAGCUGAGCAAAGGCAGGUGCCACCUCUGUGACAAUGCUCCUAAUAGGGGAAGUCCUUUUGUAAAGUUAAAGCACCUGCCCACCCAUUAAAAGCCCUAUAAAGGAGACAGGUGACUCUUGCCUCUUGGUGGCUCUAGAAUGAAACUAUGUUCUUGUUCCUCCCUCCACCCAACGUUGGGCUCCACAGAUUACCACCCAGGAAUGAGGACAUAGCCCUGGCAGAUAGGCAGGCAGCCAGGAAGGGGCCUCUUGGGAGAGUUCCUAGAACUUCUGGUGGAGUGUGG
Molecule: long non-coding RNA, 15366 nt
Filed under: Marmota monax (woodchuck)
Lineage: Eukaryota; Metazoa; Chordata; Mammalia; Rodentia; Sciuridae
Source: RNAcentral